This 592-nucleotide small RNA is filed under the name Arabidopsis thaliana (thale cress). RNAcentral's name for it is "ATSL085300". The record is from RNAcentral. Lineage: Eukaryota; Viridiplantae; Streptophyta; Magnoliopsida; Brassicales; Brassicaceae.
AAAACAAGAGUGUUCAUUUAGUUGCAUUACAUUUAGGAUCGAGUCUAGAGUGUUUCAUUUAGGAUUGUUGCAUAUGCAUAGGGGAUAAUGAUGAGAUAGCCUUGUAAGCAUUUUGGUUCACCGGCUAACUCAGUGCCCUCGUUGCUAGUUGUCUGUUGCGUAGUCAAUGAAUUUGAAAUAAAACUGAACCAUGCCUAGAUUGCUCUACUCGACCACACUGUCAUGAUCUGAUACCAUUCCCUAUCAAUUUGAACCUGAAUCUGAUCUCUAAUUAUCAUGUCUGCAUCAAAUUUGAACUCAUGGAUACCCUAAAAUACUUGGAUUUUCUUAUUCAUUUUGAUCUCUCUUGUUAAUCCAAGUAGCUGACUCUCCUUAUUAGAGCAGUUAACCCAAACCCAAACCUAGACUUUCUUUCAAGCCCUAUAUCACUUGUGAGUGUUUGUGAGGUUUUAUUCCGAUUAAGCCUGGUAGAAAGUGUUAGGUUCGUAACGACAGAGAUAGUGUCUCAUGUAGUUCUAGUUCGCAUUUUUUGGACUAGAUAGGAUUAGGUGGGCGCUUAUACUUUCGGUUGGGAUGUGUUUAAAAGAAAAAC